Molecule: long non-coding RNA, 786 nt
Filed under: Aquilegia coerulea
Lineage: Eukaryota; Viridiplantae; Streptophyta; Magnoliopsida; Ranunculales; Ranunculaceae
Description: long non-coding RNA (ACOE_LNC000283)
Source: RNAcentral
AUGGUCUAUAUAUACAAUUCACAUUCUUGUUCUUGUUGUAUAUGGAAUAGAAAUUAAAGUUAUACUGCAAGAGUAGUCAAUUCUCUUCAUUGCUUAUAAAUACAUUCUUCCAUCAUCUUGUUUGAAUUCACAACACAAAUCAUUUUCUUCAUUACAAACAGAAAUAUAUACUAGAGUUAAUUACCAGCUGUUUGAUGUCCAAAUCAUCCAAUGUAGCUGCUUUUCAAGCUGGGGAAACUGUCCCGCAGCGUGUUAUCUCAAUGGAAAAGAGACCGAGCUUUAUAAAAAGGUUGGAGACUAUCCAGGAAGAAGGUGACACCGCUUAUAACCGUAAUGGAAAACCGUCUCGUCUUGAUGUUGCAGCAAAUGAGUUUGCAAAAAGACGCACUUCAAUUCUUGCUGGGUGAUAGCAAAAUCAUGUUAUUUCAUCAGCUGAUUUCUUUAAUGGAGUGAGAAUAGUAUUAUGACUCCAUAUAUAGCAUGUAAUCAGUGUAUGUGUAAACGCUAAUGCAAUAAUAUAUAUAUAUAAGUUCCUUUAGUGUCUACUACUAUAUAUAACAGUUUAAUAUAUAUAACUCAUUCGUCUGUGGUUAAAACUUGCAAUCGAGCAGGUCUAGCUGAGCAACUAUAUAUGCCUUUGAUCAAUGUCUGAGAUACUUUAUUCCCUUUUCUGAACAUGUUUGUAUAUAAAUAAGAAAAAGAAUUACUUGAAGACUAAUAUAUAUGAAAAAAUUCAAGAGUUAGAUAGUCCUUCAUCUGUAGUUAAAACUUAAAACUCAUGAUCUU